This 835-nucleotide long non-coding RNA is filed under the name Carica papaya (papaya). RNAcentral describes it as "long non-coding RNA (CPAP_LNC013351)". The record is from RNAcentral. Lineage: Eukaryota; Viridiplantae; Streptophyta; Magnoliopsida; Brassicales; Caricaceae.
UAAAUGGCUCCUCGUUGGGAGGAUUAAAUACAAUCUUUUGUUAAAGCAAUCUAUAGUGGCGUGAUACACCGCUAGCCAAUCCAUUCCUAGGAUUACAUCAAAAUCCCAUGUGUCUAACCCUAUCAGGUCUACCCUCAAUUUCCUAUCUGCUAUCUCCACGACACAUGCCCUGUAGACAACCUCUCCUAGCAAUGUCUCCCCUACUAGCAUGUAGGAGGCAAUGGCAGCCCUCUGCUCAGGAACUACUCCCAAGGUCUCGAAAGCUCUUUCAGUCUCUGCCAGCUAGUAUUGGGCCUCUUCAAAAGAGGAUCCCCCUGCAAAAGUAGAAGGGUUCAGUCUUCUGUACCUCUCUAUGAAGCCGGGGUCGAUCAAGGAAGUAGCGGGGUCCCGAGGUAGAGGAACUUGGGCCGGCUGAGGGUUAACUGGGGGACCCUGUGGUGGCACCUGCUGAUGUGGUGGGGGUACUGGAAUGUGCUGUGGCGACGCCUGCUGGUACCGUGGCUGUGGUACAGGGUCGUACCGCGGCUGUGGCGCCGGGUGGUACUGUGGAGGAACAGGCUCCUGCCGGGGUGGCUCGAGAUCAGCCUACUGUAGCGGGGGCUCAACCUGCGCUAGCGGAGGAGGUCCGGGUAACUCCCUUCUCUCCUCUUGCCUUUGCUGGGCAGUUACGAGAGCCUCCACCUUCCAGAACCGAAUUUUGCUGUUUCAUUUAGAGCUGUCUCCGUUUCACUGCUUGUUCUCUGUCAUAGGCAGUUUCAGGAGCACUUAAAUAUUAAAGCUGGUAUCAAUUGAUGGGUCUUAUGCAAGAGGAAGUGUCUUCCAAACAAACUUCAAC